RNAcentral lists this ribosomal RNA (506 nucleotides) under uncultured bacterium. Its description in RNAcentral is "partial 16S ribosomal RNA". It matches the Rfam family "Bacterial small subunit ribosomal RNA", at positions 28 to 523 of the family's 1533-position model. The record is from RNAcentral.
GAUGAACGCUAGCUACAGGCUUAACACAUGCAAGUCGAGGGGUAACAAGAGAAAAGCUUGCUUUUCUCGUUGACGACCGGCGCACGGGGGAGUAACGCGUAUCCAACCUGCCCAUAACUAGGGAAUAACCUUGCGAAAGUAAGACUAAUACCCUAUAAUUUACUUUGACGGACUCCGAUUAGGAAUAAAGAUUCAUCGGUUAUGGAUGGGGAUGCGUCUGAUUACCUUGUUGCCGGGGUAACGGCCCACCAAGGCAACGACCUAUAGGGGUUCUCAGAAGAAGGUCCACCACAUUGGAACUGAGACACAGUCCAAACUCCUACGGGAGGCAGCAGUGAGGAAUAUUGGUCAAUGGGCGGAAGCCUGAACCAGCCAAGUAGCGUGCAGGAUGACGGCCCUAUGGGUUGUAAACUGCUUGUAUACAGGAAUAAAGUUAGCCACGUGUGGUUAUUUGUAGGUACUGUAUGAGUAAGGACCGGCUAAUUCCGUGCCAGCCGCCGCCGUAA